CCUACGGGGGGCUGCAGUGAGGAAUAUUGGUCAAUGGGCGCAAGCCUGAACCAGCCAUCCCGCGUGCAGGAAGACGGCCCUAUGGGUUGUAAACUGCUUUUCCAGGGGGAGAAUUUUUCUGUCGUGACAGGAAUUGACGGUACCCUGGGAAUAAGCAUCGGCUAACUCCGUGCCAGCAGCCGCGGUAAUACGGAGGAUGCGAGCGUUAUCCGGAUUUAUGGGGUCUUAGGGGUGCGUAGGCGGAUGGGUAGAAAACCUGCAGCUUAACUGUAGACUUGCCGUUGAUACUGUCAGUCUUGAGUGUGGUCAAGGUAGGCGGAAUGUGUAAUGUAGCGGUGAAAUGCUUAGAUAUUACACAGAACACCGAUUGCGAAGGCAGCUUACUGGGCCAUUACUGACGCUGAUGCACGAAAGCGUGGGGAUCGAACAGGAUUAGAUACCCGUGUAGUC
Molecule: ribosomal RNA, 450 nt
Filed under: uncultured bacterium
Lineage: Bacteria
Description: partial 16S ribosomal RNA
Rfam family: Bacterial small subunit ribosomal RNA
Source: RNAcentral